UGAUGAACAAAAAAUCUAUAAGGCUAAAACCAGUAGGGAUUUUAGCAGCAAAGGCAACAGUGUAUCAACACAGACAGAACAUGAAAUGGGAAGCAAUCAAGUGCAGGAGGAUUCUAGGCCGUCUUCGAAUUCGAAUUCGGAAAUUCUGAAAAGUAUGAACAUAGCAGCAGAUAUUAGAGAUCAAAGCGUUGAAAAUGAUCGUCCUAGUGGGAGGAUCAAAGCAGCUGCGGUUUUAAUGCAAUUGAUUGCUUGUGGAUCAAAGAGAGUCAAGGAUUUGGAAUCAAUGGAAAUUAGGGGUUGAUGAGUUGAUGAGAGAAACUAGUAAUAUGCUAUGAAUCAUGAUGCAAAAAUGGUUAAAAUGUUCUCUUUUUUCAGUUUCAUGAAGGUAAAAAGAAAAUGUUGCCUACACCAUCUUCUGUAACACCCCCACGUCUGAAACCGUCACCGGAGUCAAGCUUGAGAUGUUACUAAACUUAUCUUACCUUUUAAACAACUCUAAACCACUUAUUUUAAUUUUCGAAAUAAACUAUUUUUCUGCGUCAUGGUCGCUUAAAAAUUCAUUUCUCGAGUUUCAAAACUCAAAAUUAAGAUCCGUAAACUUUUCCUGAAAUUAGACUCAUAUAUCUAUCUACUAUUUUUUUUUCUAGAAUUUUUGACUUGGCCAAUUAAUACAGUUUAUUAGUUAAAGUUUCCCCUGUUUCAAAACUCGACUGCACUGACCUCUUCUUACUACAAACCAUGUUUCUUCCUAUACGAAAUUCAUAUGACUAAGCCGUUUGUUUCUAUUAAAACUAGACUCAACAAGGAUUCUAACCAUAUAAAUUAAACCUUCUAAUUAGUUUUUUACAAUUUAUGGUGAAUUUCCAAAGUUGAAAUAGGGGAUCCAGAAAUCGCUCUGACCCUAUUUCACUAAAACUCAGAUAUCUCAUAAAAUAUAAUAUCUUUACCUAUUUUGCUUAUUCCAUAAGAAAAUAUACAUAAUAAGAUUUAAUUUCAUAUAUUAUUCAUCUUCAAAAUAUGUUUCUACAAUUUUUAGUGAUUUUUCAAAGUUACGUCAUUUCUGUUACUUUCACAUUUUUCAUAAUUUUCAUGUGAUAAUCACCAUUCAAUCAUACAUAUUAAUAAACAUGUAUAUCAUCGGCCAUUUUAUUAGCUAAUCACUAGCAAGUAUUUACACAUCAUUCAUUGUUCAUAUUAUACCAAAAGUAGCUAAGUUUCUAUACAUGCCAUACCCAAAACAAAACGUCUAAUUAUACCGAGUUAUUUCUUUGAUAGUGUGAUCAGCCUCUGACGUUUCCUUCGAUCCCCAAGUGGCUAGAUAAGCACUAUAAGAAGAAGAAAAUAAAGAGAUUAAGCACUAGGCUUAGUAAGCUUACAAGCAAGUAAAUCACAACAUUCAACAUAAUGGAUAAUUAUGCAUAAUAUCAUCUAACAUCAUAAAUUUCUUUACUUCUCAAUUUCUAUCUUCUUCUUUAUUCCCUUACCUUCUUUCUUACCUGACCUUUCCUUUUUCAUAAAUAUAAUCUACUUUUCCUUUACUGUUAAUUCAGUUUAAUUUAACUCGUACCCUGACCCGUUGAACCACUCGGAAUAUUAAGAAUACUAGGGUCGUUCCUGUCUUUCAAUAUCCUGCCAAUGCCAUGUCUUUGACAUGGACUUACAUGAAUUAUUCCUGUCUCCAAUGCCAUAUAUAAUAUGGACUUACAUGGCUCAAUCCUGUCUCCAAAGCCAUAUUUCUAAUAUGAACUUACAUGGCUCAUUUCUGUUAUGUCUUGUCAACCCUAAUAUCCUAACAUUCCUAGGGUUCAACCAGGGCUUUCUAACACUUUUCGUCUAUCACUUCACCUUAAAUUCGACUUUAAAUAUUUUCAUAACAUAAAUAUAUAAAUGCUGGAAAUUGAAAAUAAUAAUGUAAAAUAAAAUAAUAUUGCAUUUAUUUGCUGUAACUUACCUUGAUACAAAAUGUGACUAAACUUUACAAUUUAGUCCUUCACUUUUUCUUUUCCCCGAUCUACUCCCAAAUUUCGUUCUUCUUGAUCUAUAAUAGCAAAUUUAACUUAUUUAAUAUUCACAUUUAUUAAAACAGUCCGUGACCCAAACUUUAGAAAAAUUAUAUUUUUACCCCUAAACUUUCACAUAUUUGCACUUUUGCCCCAAGGCUCGUAAAUUAAACUUCAUCCUAUUUUCUUAUGUUUUAUGACAUGCUGAUCAUUUUUCCCUUCUAUGGCAAUAUCAAAAUCACACUCUAACAUAUACUUAUGAGUAUUGGUAUUUUUUUUCCGAUUUAAGCCUUUUUACUCGUUUUCACUUAAAAUCAAGUAGCAUAAGUUGUUUAACAUAAUUUAAAACCUCAUAUUCUAUCAUAAAACACUAAAAUACACAAAUUUCAGCUAUGGGUAUUUUUCCAAAUAUGAACCCUAGGUUUAAUUAUUGCUAGAAUAAGCUUAAUCAAGUUACCGGGACUCCAAAAACGUAAAGAUCAUUAAAAACGGGGCUUAGAAUCACUUACUAUGAGGCUUGAAAGUUGAAGAAACCCCAGCUAUGGAGGAGAGCAAAAAUCGGCAGAAACUAAUUGAGAAGAUGACCAUUUUUGUGUUAUUUUUCCCUUUUU
RNAcentral lists this long non-coding RNA (2611 nucleotides) under Gossypium barbadense (sea-island cotton). RNAcentral describes it as "long non-coding RNA (GBAR_LNC009713)". The record is from RNAcentral. Lineage: Eukaryota; Viridiplantae; Streptophyta; Magnoliopsida; Malvales; Malvaceae.